This 648-nucleotide unclassified non-coding RNA is filed under the name uncultured Prochlorococcus sp. Its description in RNAcentral is "partial 16S-23S ribosomal RNA intergenic spacer; may also contain 16S ribosomal RNA and 23S ribosomal RNA". The stretch from base 305 to 377 matches the Rfam family "tRNA". The record is from RNAcentral. Lineage: Bacteria; Bacillati; Cyanobacteriota; Cyanophyceae; Synechococcales; Prochlorococcaceae.
UUGUGGAGGAGGACGCCGAAGGUGGGGCUAAUGACUGGGGUGAAGUCGUAACAAGGUAGCCGUACCGGAAGGUGCGGCUGGAUCACCUCCUAACAGGGAGACAACAAAAUGUUAAAUAUUAAUUUUGUCACCUUAGGUCGAUCGGUAUCUCACAUUCUUAAUUUAUUAAGAAUUUUAUUUCCUAAGUUUUUUCUAGGUCACACCCAUUACUUUUUCCUGGGCCAUUAGCUCAGGUGGUUAGAGCGCACCCCUGAUAAGGGUGAGGUCCCUGGUUCAAGUCCAGGAUGGCCCAUAUCUCUAUGUUGGGGGUAUAGCUCAGUUGGUAGAGCGCCUGCUUUGCAAGCAGGAUGUCAGCGGUUCGAGUCCGCUUACCUCCACUGAUCACCACCUCUUCCAUAAUUUAUAGAAGGGAAAUGUUUUGAGUUGUGAUCAAAUUCUGAACGAAUCUAGCUUCCUAAUAAAACUUAUUAAGAUGCUGGACUCAUUGAAUUAAUUUCAUUGUUUUCAGAGAACCUUGACAACUGCAUAGAUUAUUUUUAAAGACAAUAAGCAUCUUUAAUGAUGCAGAUUUAUUAUUUGUGCGAAUGCAUUAAUAACAAUUCUAUUAAGCUGAUGCUUCAAUUUUUGAAGUUAUUGGUCAAGCUACAA